This 22-nucleotide non-coding RNA is filed under the name Arabidopsis thaliana (thale cress). Lineage: Eukaryota; Viridiplantae; Streptophyta; Magnoliopsida; Brassicales; Brassicaceae. The record is from RNAcentral.
UGCCACAUGUCUAGACAGUUGC